AUAUGAAAUAAUCUAGAUUUUUUUUUUUUUUUUUUUUGCUUUUUCAGAUUCAUAAAGGAGCUAUCACAGACCUUGUCAACCUUGGAGAUAUGUUUGUGACAUCAUCACUGGAUGGUACUGUGAAGGUGUGGUCUACUGCAUCCUAUUCCCAGAUUGGUCAAUUUUUCUGCCUGGCACCAGUGACUAGUAUGACAGCUUCAAAAAUGGAUCAGGGCAAAAUGAUCGCCUGUGGUGAUAAGCUUGGUAAUGUUUACUUCCUGAAAAGCGAGGCAUAAGUUAGUGACUACAAAUGUUGAAUAACUGGAUGAGUAGACAUACAGUAUAUGCCAUUCUUAAGAUUCUUAAAUGUUGUAGUAGUUUAGAUAGUAAGGUGAUAGGUAAAAAAGAUAAUCUUUUGUUUAGAGCAAAAGAUUAUAUUCUACUCAAAGAUAUAGAUUGUAUCAUUUAUUGUUUCGCAGAAAAUAUCUGCCAUUUAGAAAAUGUAUUAUGUAAUCAGUCAAUCAAAUUCAUCAAUGAAUACAUGUGAUGCAAUUAAAUUACAACACCAAUAUUUGCAUUUUUAAGGAUUCCUUUUUGCUUUACAUUUAAUUUAUUCAUCAAUACCAAGCAAAUAUUUGUGUAGACUUUCAUCUAGUGUACUGUGUGUUGAAUAUAGUACUUAAUCCAUAAAGUAUCACUUAUGUUAAUAAUAAUAAUAAUAAUCAUAAUAUUUAUAUUCAGUAUUUUCAAUAUAACCUUGCCUAUCUUCUUUGUGCCAUGUGGCCUUUAAGGACAUAAUAUCAAUAUGAUUGCAGAUAAUAUGUUAUUGUUAUUAUUUUUAUUAUUAUUGUUAUUAUUUUUAUUACUGUUAUUAUUAUUAUUAUUAUUACUGUUAUUAUUAUUAUUAUUAUUAUUUAUUAUUAUUAUUAUUAUUAUUAUUACUGUUAAUAUUAUUAUCAGGUUUCAUGUUUGUUUAUAUAUUAUUUACUAGCAAUUUUAAUACUAAACUUAACUUAUGAUGACAGCAUCAUAAUCAUCACCAUCAUUGUCAUCAUUAUAUAUUUUCUUGGCUCACUGACGUGACUAGACAGUUGAUAACUAGAGAAUGCUAAUGACAGGACUUAUAACUUGACCACUAAGUGACUUGACUUACGAAUCUGACCAGUAAACUGACUGACCUAAAUAUUUUCAAUAGAUAAUGGGUAUACAUAUUUGAGAGUACUGUAAAUUAAGAUUAUCUAGUCUAUUUUGCAAUAAAUAUAUUCAGUAUUAUUAUUGUAUUGUUAUAGUUCUUGGCUCACUGACGUGACUAGACUGUUGAUGAUUUAUAUAGUCUAUUGUGUGUUACCCAUGUUUAAUAUUUUUUCUGCAAAAUAUCCUCAAUCAAUUUCCACUGUCUUUUGCCAUGUGUGUCUGUCAUUAGCUUUUGCAAUUUUAUUAUUUAUUAUAUUGCUGUUAUUUUUAUGGUGAUUAUAGUAAUUUCUUUAUUAUUUUAUAUAUUUUAUGAACUAUUGAGUCAAGUAUUAGCUAAUAUGUUAUUGUUAUUGAUAUUAAUAUAAUAAAUAAUUUAUAUAUUAUCUUUUAUUUUUAUUAUCAUUAUUAUUUUUAUUUUAUUGACUAAUAUAAGUUUUACGUUUAUUUGGCAACUCUUCCUGAUUGAUGAAUGUUCUAGGCUCACUGACAGGACUAGACUGUUUAUGAAAAGAUGUUGAUGACUUACAGGACCAAUAACUGACUUGACUUACGACUUUACCGCUUAAUGACUCGAUUUUAUUGUAUUUAAUUCAAUUUAUCACUGUAGAUAUGGUGUAUGUACAUUGGAGGAAAUGAUAUAUCUUUUUGUAUGUGUGUUUUCAAUGUUAUACUAGUUUUUGGGGUUUUUUUUUCGUAUCAAUACAAUUGUUGUGGAGAUUUUAAUAGAAAAGAAUAUAUAUAAUAUAUAAAUUAAUGUGGAAAAGCUAAAUGGAAGUCAUAUUACUAGUAUAAAUUAAGGUUCAACACACUUGCCAUGUGAUCAUGUGGUAAUAUGGAUGGUGUGAUCUUUUUCAAACGCUAAUAAUAUAUUUUAUAAUGUUAAUACAAAACUAUGUUACCUAAACACAUAGAUGACUAAUAACAUUGAUAAUUAUAACCCACAUACAUCCAAAGCAUGUAGUCACAAGAAGAUGUUAUUAAAAUAUAUUAGUACAGUA
RNAcentral lists this long non-coding RNA (2171 nucleotides) under Anneissia japonica. RNAcentral describes it as "uncharacterized LOC117109175". Lineage: Eukaryota; Metazoa; Echinodermata; Crinoidea; Comatulida; Comatulidae. The record is from RNAcentral.